GAAAGAUGUGUGUGUCCAACGCGCCAGUCCCCGGAUAAUUUUAACCCAAGGGCGGGCCAGCCUGCCUGGUUUCUUCUCCGCCCGCCCCAGGUGGGCCCGGCUGAAUGAGGGGCUUAUGCGCGCGGGGCGGGGCGGCCGGAUGCCCAGCCUGCGCACUGCGCACCGCCCACCGUCUGCCACCGCCUGCCUGGCUGCCACCGCCAGCACUGCUCAGUGACCGCCAGCCAUGGCCCGAGCACCCAGCCUGGCCCUGCUCCUGUUGGGGCAGCUCCUGGCAGCCACCGCAGCACAGAAAGUGGGGCUUCCCGGCCCCCCAGGCCCCCCAGGCCCACCUGGGAAGCCAGGCAAGGAUGGCAUUGAUGUGAGUUGGGAUGGGGUUCAAGGGGUUCUAGAACUGGCGGUGCUGGGCUGGUGGGGACAGCACCAUACCCAACGGACAGCGAGUGGGGAAACCAGGGUGGGCAG
Molecule: long non-coding RNA, 465 nt
Filed under: Cavia porcellus (domestic guinea pig)
Lineage: Eukaryota; Metazoa; Chordata; Mammalia; Rodentia; Caviidae
Description: lncRNA (ENSCPOG00000030848.1)
Source: RNAcentral